Molecule: transfer RNA, 62 nt
Filed under: Japalura variegata
Lineage: Eukaryota; Metazoa; Chordata; Lepidosauria; Squamata; Agamidae
Description: tRNA-Tyr
Source: RNAcentral
UGGACAGGGGGGCACGCCCCGUAUGCGAAUUUACAGCUCGCCGCCUUCUCAGCCACCUGACC